Xenopus laevis (African clawed frog) is the source of this 1103-nucleotide long non-coding RNA. RefSeq lists it as uncharacterized. NCBI's taxonomy places the organism in Eukaryota, Metazoa, Chordata, Amphibia, Anura, Pipidae. The record is from RefSeq and is a predicted model, not a curated record. The transcript is spliced from 2 exons.
AUGUAAAUGUGCAGCAGUUCAGGACCCAGGAAGGGGGAGGGAAUUCUUCUCAGUCUGCAAUCGGCUCCUACACACACACACAAUUCCUGCUGCACAGGCUCAAGUCAGUACUGAUGUUCCGAUUCUUUUUACAUGCUGUCACAUUACAUCAGUCUUCUUUAUCUCUAUUUGUAUAAUGGAAAGGUCCCAGAGGCCCAUUUAUUUUAGGAAGAGGGCAGCCCAACGGGCAAUUGCCCGAUCUCACAGAUGGCCAGUCCGGGCCUGGUGGCGGGUCUAUGUCUGUACUGUGGUAGACAAUCUCACUUUGCCAAUACCUGUCCUGUGAGGCCUAAGGGUUCUUUUCCCCAAGAUUCGGCUGGCCACAAAGACGGUUUUCAGCUCUGCUUUCAUCGACUCUGGGGCUGCCAGGAAUUUUAUGGAAGCUCUCUUUGCCAAGUAUAUGGAUGUUCCCCUAUAUCCAUUUUGAUUUUCAUUAAUCUGCAAAAUCAUGUGAAUUACAGAUAAUCUGGUCCAAGAGAUGGUCGUUUUAGGACUCCUACACACAGGCCAUUUUAAAUGUGUUUUUAAACAUAAAUGCAUAAAAACGGAUACAUUGCAUUUCUAUGUGUUUUUUAUUUAAACAUUUUUUAAAAAGCAGCUAAAUUGGUUGGUUUCUGGAUGUGCGUCAAGCACAAGAAAAUGCAUCUGAAAAAAUUAAUUAUACAAGAACAUUUGCCAAGAGCAACUAGUCAGGAAUUAACUUUGAACAGUUUACUACAAGUUAGAAAAUGAAAGCUAAAAAUGGUCACUUAGGCAACUACAGUGAUGUAACAACUAAAUUAAUAAAUAACCAAUGGUUUUUGAGUGUAAAUAUGUUUUUUUUCUGGAUGAGAGCUUCCUGCACCUGUUAAUGAAAUUAUUAGGGGAAUAAAAGAAAGUUCCUGAAUGGUAUAUAUACAAUACUUUCAGCCAAUAACAAUUUUAUGUUUUAUUUUGCUAUUUCCCAAUACUGCCCAGGCAAGAAACUAGAUAGUUAGGGGCUUAUUUAUCUUGCUGUGUAGAAAGUAGAGUGAAGCAUUGCUGGUAAUGUUGCUCAUAGCAACCAAUCAACAAUUACAUUUCAA